AAAUUAACAAAAGGACACUUCCCACCGCAGGAAGGGUAACACAGACCCUUCUCCUGCCUGGGGAUGUGCCCUAAAAAUACACAUCUAAGUGUCUGCUGGAAGGGCUGUGUUGCAACGUUCAGUGGAAACUCUCCCGUUUUCAGUUUCAGAGCUGAUCCAGGGUAUAAAAGCUGCUCUUAGGACCUGUCUUAAACCUCUCAACUUCAGUUCGCUCUCCCUGCCAAAGCCUCCUGCAGAAAACAAAAACAUAAGCUCAUCUGCCCAACCUUCAACCGCUCCGAGGGGGGGUCGGAGCGGAGCCGCGGAGCCCGAGGGUCGCUGGCGGGGCCGGUACCGGCAACCGGGGGGCCCGGCCAGAGCCGGACACGGAGCCCACCCCUGAGAAAAGCUCGGAAAGUACUUUUUCUCAUGGUUUUUCUACUGCUUCCUUCCCUCCAAGAAACUCGGGGGGAGCCGGGUGCGUUGCCGAGGCUGCCGCAGGUGCUGGAGCAGCUCACGCUGUCACCGUGUUUUCCAAACCCAUCCGCCCGAGCUGAAAGACUGCUGGUAACGCGUUGCUGGCUGCACAUGAAUCCCAGAAACUGCUUUGCAUAACAAUUUUAUUUUCAUGGAAUAAUCUUCCCUGUUAGCUGUGUUUUCAGACUCUUUGGCAAUCAGUUCUUAAUACCUACGCUGCUUUGCAAACUGGCUUUUUCAAGGCGUUACCGGCUUAGCUACUGUGGACGGGUGCCCUGUGCUCUGCAUAGGCUGUUGAGCUUUAGGGCAAAGUGGACAAGAAAUUGGGGGAAAGCAGCUCACUUCAGGAUCUUAGUAAGUUUAUCACCAAAACAGGAUUCCAGUGUUUCUUAAAAACUUUUCCUUCCCCUUUAAUUGAAAUAAGAUCCAGAUCAUUUUAGUAUUGGAUCUUGCUGUAAAAUGUAUUUACAUUUAUAUUUAAAUUUACGUCUAAUGCCUGGUAACUCUUUGAAGAAUAACCACCAGCCAAGCCUCUGAUGCAUUGCCACUGCAAGAAAAUACUUGUGCCCAAGAAGGUUUUCAAUAUUCAUCAGUAAUGCAUUUAUAAAGAGAGAGCUCCUUGCAACAAUGUAAAUACAGGAGGAAAUAAAUCUAAAUAAAUCCUUUGCA
RNAcentral lists this long non-coding RNA (1125 nucleotides) under Serinus canaria (Common canary). Its description in RNAcentral is "lncRNA (ENSSCAG00000013804.1)". Lineage: Eukaryota; Metazoa; Chordata; Aves; Passeriformes; Fringillidae. The record is from RNAcentral.